AUUGAACGCUGGCGGCAGGCCUAACUCAUGCAAGUCGAGCGAGCGGCGGACGGGUGAGUAAUGCCUGGGAAUUGCCCAGUCGAGGGGGAUAACAGAUGGAAACGACUGCUCAUAACGCAUACGGCUGGAUUGCCCAGGUGGGAUUAGCUAGUUGGUGAGGUAAUGGCUUACCACGGCGACGGUCCCUAGCUGGUCUGAGAGGUCGGUCAGCCACACUGGAACUGAGACACGGCCCAGACUCCUACGGGAGGCAGCAGUGGGGAAUAUUGCACAAUGGGGGAAAGCCUGAUGCAGCCAUGCCGCGUGUGUGAAGAAGGCCUUCGGGUUGUAAAGUACUUUCAGCGGGGAGGCGUUACUCGCAGAAGAAGCACCGGCUAACUCCGUGCCAGCCGCCGCGGUAAUUC
RNAcentral lists this ribosomal RNA (404 nucleotides) under uncultured bacterium. Its description in RNAcentral is "partial 16S ribosomal RNA". It matches the Rfam family "Bacterial small subunit ribosomal RNA", at positions 30 to 526 of the family's 1533-position model. The record is from RNAcentral.